GAUGAACGCUGGCGGUAUGCUUAACACAUGCAAGUCGAACGGACUCUUCGGAGUUAGUGGCGGACGGGCGAGUAACGCGUGAGAAUCUGGCUUUGGGUUCGGGACAACCACUGGAAACGGUGGCUAAUACCGGAUGUGCCGAGAGGUAAAAGAGAAAUUGCCUGAAGAUGAGCUCGCGUCUGAUUAGCUAGUUGGUGAGGUAAAGGCUCACCAAGGCAGCGAUCAGUAGCUGGUCUGAGAGGAUGACCAGCCACACUGGGACUGAGACACGGCCCAGACUCCUACGGGAGGCAGCAGUGGGGAAUUGUCCGCAAUGGGCGAAAGCCUGACGGAACAAUACCGCGUGAGGGAAGAAGGCUCUUGGGUUGUAAACCUCUUUUCUUAGGGAAGAACAAAAUGACGGUACCUAAGGAAUCAGCAUCGGCUAACUCCGUG
RNAcentral lists this ribosomal RNA (435 nucleotides) under uncultured bacterium. Its description in RNAcentral is "partial 16S ribosomal RNA". It matches the Rfam family "Bacterial small subunit ribosomal RNA", at positions 28 to 507 of the family's 1533-position model. The record is from RNAcentral.